GAUGAACGCUGGCGGCGUGCUUAACACAUGCAAGUCGAACGAUGAAGCCCAGCUUGCUGGGUGGAUUAGUGGCGAACGGGUGAGUAACACGUGAGUAACCUGCCCUUAACUCUGGGAUAAGCCUGGGAAACUGGGUCUAAUACCGGAUAGGAGCGUCCACCGCAUGGUGGGUGUUGGAAAGAUUUAUCGGUUUUGGAUGGACUCGCGGCCAAUCAGCUUGUUGGUGAGGUAAUGGCUCACCAAGGCGACGACGGGUAGCCGGCCUGAGAGGGUGACCGGCCACACUGGGACUGAGACACGGCCCAGACUCCUACGGGAGGCAGCAGUGGGGAAUAUUGCACAAUGGGCGCAAGCCUGAUGCAGCGACGCCGCGUGAGGGAUGACGGCCUUCGGGUUGUAAACCUCCUUCAGUAGGGAAGAAGCGAAAGUGACGGUACCUGCAGAAGAAGCACCGGCUAACUACGUG
This 466-nucleotide ribosomal RNA is filed under the name uncultured bacterium. RNAcentral's name for it is "partial 16S ribosomal RNA". It matches the Rfam family "Bacterial small subunit ribosomal RNA", at positions 28 to 507 of the family's 1533-position model. The record is from RNAcentral.